Molecule: ribosomal RNA, 301 nt
Filed under: uncultured bacterium
Lineage: Bacteria
Description: partial 16S ribosomal RNA
Rfam family: Bacterial small subunit ribosomal RNA
Source: RNAcentral
CAGCCGCCACGGGAAUACGUAGGGUGCGAGCGUUAAUCGGAAUUACUGGGCGCAAAGCGUGCGCAGGCGGUUAUAUAAGACAGAUGUGAAAUCCCCGGGCUCAACCUGGGACCUGCAUUUGUGACUGUAUAGCUAGAGUAUGGCAGAGGGGGGUGGAAUUCCGCGUGUAGCAGUGAAAUGCGUAGAUAUGCGGAGGAACACCGAUGGCGAAGGCAGCCCCCUGGGCCAAUACUGACGCUCAUGCACGAAAGCGUGGGGAGCAAACAGGAUUAGAUACCCGCGUAGUCCCUGUCUCUUAUAC